This 542-nucleotide ribosomal RNA is filed under the name uncultured fungus. RNAcentral describes it as "SSU rRNA". It matches the Rfam family "Eukaryotic small subunit ribosomal RNA", at positions 20 to 575 of the family's 1831-position model. The record is from RNAcentral. Lineage: Eukaryota; Fungi.
GUAGUCAUAUGCUUGUCUCAAAGAUUAAGCCAUGCAUGUCUAAGUAUAAGCAACUUUGUACUGUGAAACUGCGAAUGGCUCAUUAAAUCAGUUAUAGUUUAUUUGAUGGUUUUUGCUACAUGGAUAACUGUGGUAAUUCUAGAGCUAAUACAUGCAUUCAAGCCCCGACUUCUGGAAGGGGUGUAUUUAUUAGAUAAAAAUCAACUUUGUUGGUGAAUCAUAAUAACUUCUCGGACCGCAUGGCCUCGUGCUGGCGGUGCUUCAUUCAAAUAUCUGCCCUAUCAACUGUCGAUGGUAGGAUAGAGGCCUACCAUGGUUGCAACGGGUAACGGGGAAUAAGGGUUCGAUUCCGGAGAGGGAGCCUGAGAAACGGCUACCACAUCCAAGGAAGGCAGCAGGCGCGCAAAUUACCCAAUCCCGACACGGGGAGGUAGUGACAAUAAAUACUGAUACAGGGCUCUUUUGGGUCUUGUAAUCGGAAUGAGUACAAUUUAAAUCCCUUAACGAGGAACAAUUGGAGGGCAAGUCUGGUGCCAGCAGCC